Molecule: ribosomal RNA, 497 nt
Filed under: uncultured bacterium
Lineage: Bacteria
Description: partial 16S ribosomal RNA
Rfam family: Bacterial small subunit ribosomal RNA
Source: RNAcentral
GAUGAACGCUGUCGGCGUGCCUAAUACAUGCAAGUCGAGCGAACAGACGAGGAGCUUGCUCCUCUGACGUUAGCGGCGGACGGGUGAGUAACACGUGGAUAACCUACCUAUAAGACUGGGAUAACUUCGGGAAACCGGAGCUAAUUCCGGAUAACAUGUUUAACCGCCUGGCUUAACACUGAAAGUCGGUUUUGCUGUCACUUAUAGAUGGAUCCGCGUCGCAUUAGCUAGUUGGUAAGGUAACGGCUUCCCAAGGCAACGAUACGUAGCCGACCUGAGAGGGUGGUCGGCCACACUGGAACUGAGACACGGUCCAGACUCCUACGGGAGGCAGCAGUAGGGAGUCUUCCGCAAUGGGCGAAAGCCUGACGGAGCAACGCCACGUGAGUGAAAAAGGUCUUCGGAUCGUAAAACUCUGUUAUUAGGGAAGAACAAAUGUGUAAGUAACUAGGCACGUCUUGACGGUACCUAAUCAGAAAGCCACGGCUAACUACGUG